RNAcentral lists this long non-coding RNA (2570 nucleotides) under Salmo salar (Atlantic salmon). Its description in RNAcentral is "lncRNA (ENSSSAG00000118067.1)". The record is from RNAcentral. Lineage: Eukaryota; Metazoa; Chordata; Actinopteri; Salmoniformes; Salmonidae.
GUUUACUGUACACACGUAGCAUUAAAAAGAUCGCGUUUUCACCACGUGCUUUAUACUACCAUACUACUGUAGCUUGACUCCAUUCGAUGACAGCGGUGAGUGAUGGCGAGUGAGAAUGACAAGAAGCUACAGUAGCAACAAGUUCUGACAGCUCAAUCGUCAUGAAACGUAAAUACAUCGAUGAGUUUUUCUCCAUUGGUUUCAUACAAACUUUGAGAAAUAACAAGGAGCGCCCACAAUGUGUUUUGUGCGGGGAAGUGCUUAGUAAUAAGUCUCUCAAAACGGAACAAAUGAAAACGACACAUCCUGACCAAACAUCCAGAGCAUGACGGUUAACACAGGGAAUUCUUCCAGAACAGGGCAGAAUACUUCAGGAAACAGUGCCUCGACAGUGGAUGAGUAAAUCAGCUAGGAAGGCAUUGUUGAAAUUUUAUAACAGGUGGUGAAUAAAGUAGAAUGUAACUGCACCAUGAAACCUAGCGGGCCCUCCUCUUACCCUGACCACAUCAAGGCUGUCAGGCCAGAUGAAAGGAAUCACACAGUGACCUGUGUUCUGUUUUGUGUUUUUUUUGUGUGUGUUUGGUUAUUUUUAAGGCAGUAGAUCAGCUUUAAUACUGCAGAUACACUACCAGUCAAAAGUUUUAGAACACCUACUCAUUCAAGGGUUUUUCUUUAUUUUUACUAUUUUCAACAUUGUUGAAUAUUAGAAGGCAUCAAAACUAUGAAAUAAUGUAGUAACCAAAAAAGUGUUAAACUAAUCAAAAUAUAUUUUAUAUUUGAGAUUCUUCAAAUAGCCACCCUUUGCCUUGAUGACAGCUUUGCACACUCUUGGCUUUCUCUCAACCAGCUUCACCUGGAAUGCUUUUCCAACAGUCUUGAAGGAGUUCCCACACAUACUGAGCACUUUUUGGCUGCUUUUCCUUCACUCUGCGGUCCAACUCAACCCAAACCCUCUCAAUUGGAUGGGAUGGCGUAUCGCUGCAGAAUGCUGAGGCAGCCAUGCUGGUUACGUGUGCCUUGAAUUCUAAAUAAAUCACUGACAGUGUCACCAGCAAAGCACCCCCAGACCAUCACACCACCUCCUCCAUGCUUCACGUGGGGAAUCACACAUGCAGAGAUCUAUUCACCUAUUCUGCAUCUCACAAAAACAAUAAGGUUUGAAACAAACAUCUCAAAUUUAGAAUCAUCAGACCAAAGGACAGAUUCCCACCGGUCUAAUGUCCAUUGCUCGUGGUUCUUGGCCAAAGCAAGUCUCUUCUUCUUAUUGGUGUUGUGGUAAACCAUGGGGUGUUGGGUUGAGCGUGCAGAGAUUGACACAGAGACAGGGAGGCUUUAGUCCGCAAAAACAACUUUACUAAGAGAGAAAAUAAAUAUAUCAAAGAAAUCACUUAGGUUUAGCUCGGUCCUUCUUCUCUCUUUUGCUUGGUGUCAUUCUCUCCCCCAUCUCUCUCGCAGUGUGCCAUCGUACUCCUUUUAUUUAGCCUCCACGGCUGGUUGGCACUUUCCUCUAAUUACCUCCACUUAGAGCUGUCUGUGUCGGGGUGCCCAGCUCCCGUAUUCCCAGCAGAGGGAGGCAACGUCGCCUCACGUACCUCCCCUCUAUUACCACCCCCCGGGGUAGACCUCCUGGGAAACCACAGUGUUCUUUAGUAGUGGUUUCUUUGCAGCAAUUUGACCAUGAAGGCCUGAUUCACACAGUCUCUGAACAGUUGUUGAACUCUGUGAAGCAUUUAUUUGGGCUGCAAUUUCUGAGGCUGGUAACUCUAAUGAACUUAUCCUCUGCAGCAGAAGUAACUUUGGGUCUUCCUUUCCUGUGGCGUCCUCAUGAGAGCCAGUUUCAUCAUAGUGCUUGAUGGUUUUUGCGACUGCACUUGAAGAAACUUUCAAAGUUCUUGAAUUGUUCUGGAUAGACUGACCUUCAUGUCUGAAAGUAAUGGACUGUUGUUUCUCUUUGCUUAUUUGAGCUGUUCUUGUUAUAAUAUGGACUUGGUCUUUUACCAAAAAGGCUAUCUUCUGUAUACCACCCCUACCUUGUCACAACACAACAGAUAACAGAUAAAUAAAGAAUACAAAUUGAAGAAUAUAAAAUAUAUAUUUGUUUAACGCUUUUAGUUACUACAUGAUUCCAUGUGUGUUAUUUCAGAGUUUUGAUGUCUUCAGUAUUAUUCUACAAUGUAGAAAAUAGUAAAGAAAAACCCUGGAAUGAGUAGGUCUGUCCACACUGGUACUGUAGGCCAACAGUAAUAGUGUUAUAUAGACCAACAGCAAUAGUGUUAUAUAGGCCAACAGUAAGUUUACCAUUAUGUCAUGUGUAGUGCACUGUCCCAAUCAUCCUAUGUAGCCUUUUUUACUCAUGUUCCACUGUCUUGCAAUGUUGAGGUUUGGGAGAAUUAUGGAAAAACAGAAUAGCAUUAAUCUAUCAUGCAAUCAUGUUUUAUCUUGUAAUACAUCACGUUUUAUCUUGUAAUACAUCACGUUUUAUCUUGUAAUGCAUCACGUUUUAUCUUCUAAUGCAUCAUGUUUUAUCUUGUAAUGCAUCAUGUUUUAUCUUGUAAUACAUCAUGUUUUAU